AGAGACAGGGUCUUGCUCCAUCACCCAGGCUGGAGUUCAGUGGCAUAUUCACAGCUCGCUGCAGCUUUCACCUUCCAGGUUCAAGUUGUCUUCCCACCUCAGCCUCCCAAGUAGCUGGGACCACAGGAGGAAAUCUCUUCACUGCUGGCACUGACAAUGGAAGACUGAGGGUGCCCGGGAUCCUUCACCCCCACAUCCAGUGAGUCCACGGAACCCAGGGUAACUGGGAUGGUAUCUGAUUGCUGUUGAAUAUCUUUAAUAUACCAAAACCUGCAAGGUGCUAGACAUACAAGAACAUGAAAAUGAAAAGAAACAUAUGAUCUGACAGCUUCUCCAUAAGAGGAAAAUCCUUAAUAGCUAAAUACUUGUUCAAAGUAUUCCUUGAAGCAAUCUCCAUUUUUUUUUCACGGUUAUGGUCAUCAAGAUAAAAAACAAAACAAAACAGAAAACAAGUUAUUUUGCCUUUAAGUCUCCAAAACUGGCUGUAUCCUCAACUUCUGUUUGCAUAUGCAGUUACAGUCUCAGAAUUUCUCCAACUUAAAGCAAAAUGUAGAAGCAAGAUAAGACUAUUGGCUUAAGAGAUUGAAAAGAAAGGAUGGAGUUUCCCAUUUUAUUUAGAAUUCAGAUUCUUUUUGAGCCAUUACUGUCCAUUUCUCUUGGUGUCUACCCAAUGGCCUAAUGUUUAACUAUGCGAGACAUUCCAAGUCUAUUUUAUAUAUAUAUACACACACACACACACACACACACACACACACAAUAGUGCUGUGUUCUGAAUGUGUGUGUCCCUGAAAAAUUCAUAUAUUAAAACUUAAUCCUCAAUGCAAUAAUAUUAAGAGGUAUGGACUUUGGGAGUUGAUUAGAUCAUGAAGACUCUGCAAUCAUGAAUGGCACUUGUGCUCUUGGGAGCUUGGGGGCCCUUUUGCCACGUAAGGAUGCAGCAAAAGGCACCAUCUAUGAAGAAGAGAGCAAGCCUUCACCAAAAAAUCUGCUAGUAUAUUGAUCUUGAACUUCCCAGCCUCCAGAACUGUGAGAAGUAUAUUUCUAUUAUUUACAAAUUACCCAAUAUAGAGUAUAUUGUUAUAGCAGCCCAAAUACAGUGACACAAUAGCAAAAACUUACAUUAAAAUUAUUCUUAGAUUUGAUCUAGAAAAUACUGCUUUGCUACAUAUAAGAAAACAAAUAUACCAGAUUACCAAGAAAGAUACUUCAUUAUGGAUUUUCUGACUUCCAACUUGGGGCUCUUUCAGUGAUACGGAAGUGAAAAUUAAAAAUAAGUGUGAAGUACUAAAAUAAAUUCAACAGAAAAACACCCCCAACUCCAUUGCAAGCUAGCUCACAUAGUCCGAGAAAAACAAUGCUAAACAACAUAUAUGUUAUUUUGUUUUGUUUGCUUAUAUCUUCUGAGAUAGAAAAAAUCCAAAUCUGUUGUUCUCCUUGUCUCGGAGCUGACCCUUUCCAGCAGAUGAUAUCACCUCUAAGGUAACUAAGAACAAUGAUUUCUUAUGGAAGUAAAUCAAGACUGUUCCUAUCAAAAUUAAAAAAUAAAAUGUUGAAUAUUAGAGAGAAAUGCAGCAAUAAUAUAUGGAGUUUAGUAAUAUGAUGGACAGCUCUGUAAUCAUAUUAGUUUCAAAAUAUUUAAUAUAGUCUUUUCCAAAUAUGAUAUAAGCAGAUGGAUAGACUAGCUGUGUACUUUCAUUGCCUCUGCUUUACUGAUGCAGAACUCUUAAAACAAGCUUCCAAAUAUUGUUGGUUCUUUGUUUAUUGAGUGUGAAAUUGAAAGCAAAGCAAACCAAAUGCUGUGACGUAUAUCCAUUUUCCAUCCUCCUUGGUCUUGCAAAUCAAUUAUUAUUCAAAAUUACCCUUUAUAAUCAAAAUUCUUUGUAUAACAACUAAUAUGCCAUUAUCUUAAACUAAUAUGAUCACAUUCUUUUUUUCUUUUGUUUUUGGUAGAGAUGGGAGUCUCACUGUUUUGCCCAAGCUGGUCUUGAACUCCUGGCCUCAAGUGUUCCUCCCGCCUCAGACUCGCAAAGUGCUGGGAUUACAGGCAGAAGUCACUGCUCCAGGCCACAUUAUUUUUAUGAUUAUUAUGAUUAAUACUUUUAAAUAGUUGUACUUUGGGUUCUUGGGAACCCAGAGAAAUAACAUUCUUCACAAAGUUAGUUCAAAGGAUUUUUUUAAGCUUAGUGCUACCGUUCUAAAUGACUUUUUAAAAGAAAAGCAUUGAGUAUUUUAAGAAACAUAUAAAUUGAAUUUUGUGAUUAUCUGAAUUGGUGUUUUAGUUAGCAAUGUAAUGAGAGUAAAAAUAACUAAACAUUAAACUUUCUAAUAGAUUUCAGUUCAAUACUAAUACUACAGGGCUGAUGCUUGCAUUUCUUAGAAAGAGCAGGAAAAUAAAUAUAUAUGUACAUUUAAUUAUAAACAGAAGGCAGAGUUAGUUUACAACAUUUAAAAAAAAAUCUAGAUUGCAUACUUUAAUUUUCACCAUGCAAAAAGUUGGAACUUGUAACUUCCAAUGAGUCAAUCUUUGGCUAUUUUUCACAAUCCACAAGUCCAUGGUUUUUCUAUAAAAUAAGCACUAGUAAUAAAAAUCACAGGACACUAUUUAAUAUGUUUGGUUGUAUUAUAAUAUUGAGAAUAAUUGGAGGAUAAAAUACUUUCUUUUAAAACAUCACCUUUUCAGUGUCUGUUUCAAAAAUAUAGAAUAAAUUUAAUUUUUAAAAUUC
Long non-coding RNA from Homo sapiens (human), 2723 nucleotides. RefSeq lists it as uncharacterized. NCBI's taxonomy places the organism in Eukaryota, Metazoa, Chordata, Mammalia, Primates, Hominidae. The record is from RefSeq and is a predicted model, not a curated record. The transcript is spliced from 4 exons.